UCUUGUGUCCUGGGCGGCUCCGGCGGUCGGUUUCUGUGAAGGGUGGUCAGGCGGCUUCCGGGCGACAAAACUAGGUUUUAAACGCACUCGAAAAGAAAUGUGUGUUUCCAGAGCCUGGCGGGAUAAGGCUUCCUCGUGAGUUGUAUUUAAGUGUCCACACACAGCGGGUUUGUGUGGCUGUUGUUUCCCCUCUCAGAAUAAUCAGGAGAGCUUUCUGCAAGUGCAUAGCAGUCAGCCGUAGGGGUCUGAAACUGCUCAGAAGCUGUGGUGAAAGCCGGUUUCCAUUAAUGGAUGUGAGACUCGAGUGACUCCAUUCCUGACAGUUUAUCCGCAGUGCUAACAGCACAGCCAUCGUUAGCCUCUGACAUCCACUCCGUGCUCUGCCUGAGGAGAGGUCUGUGGUGAUGAACGCAGCCACAGAGCCAGACACGGAUCCUGAGCAAAACGAGGCCAAACAAUAACCAGUUUUAUUAAAACCCUCCAAGUCAGAUGCUUCAGUACUUCAGCUGUUAAACCGAAUUCACCAGAAGACACUCCUGUGAAGCUGCUGGUGAAUGGGCCCAGCCCUGAGGGGUGCCAUAGAGAGCACCUAUCAACUGCAGAGAAACAGAAAAACACCCAAAUCCAGGGUGCGUGUGGCAGCACUGUCAGAGCUGGCCUCUGACAUCAGCCGCACAGGCUGCAGUGUGCUGUCCUGGGGUGCCUGCUCUGAGAUGCCUAACUUCUUGUCUGUGUUGUAAUGGGAUUGCUACAUAAACUCCUGAUGGGUCUGGCUGCCAAGCUACACAAGCUACAGACUCAUUGGAUGAUGCUGUCAGUCAGCCAGACUUCACAUGGGCACAAAUUGUACUUUCUACAGAGGAAGCGGAAGAGAAAAAAAACAAAAAGAAGAUGAGCGCAAGACCACUAAUCUUUGCACUGGUCUCUGCCAGUUAAAGUUUUACAUUACUGGAGAAGAACACAAGUUUCCAGGUGGUGAUGGUUCAUCGAGACAUCCCUUGGCCACUGCUCGCUGCCAGGCAGCAUCACUGGGGACAUACUUGUACACCCGCACUCAUCCUGCCCAAAACCACUGCUUUACCAAGACCUCCAGGCAAAGGGAAUUGUUACUCGGAGCCUUGAAAAGCCAUUAGACCUCCAUCACCUGCUGAACACCCCAGGUUUUAUUUACCAAAACAGAAAAGGCAUGGCUGAAUGUUUAAGUUUUGUGUUUUGUUGUGGUUGGCACCAGAAAUGUGUUUGCUCUGUGAUACGCUCAGAUACACACUCCACAGACAAGCCUCCUUUAAUACUAGUUUUUGUUAUUUUUGUUUCAAGUGAUGCUAAGAUUUUAAAAAAUCACAAACUACCUUAUGUGUAAACACAACGAUCCCCUUCUGUUUGUCAUUGUACCCAAAACUCUACGAUAAAAGAAUCACCUUCCAAAGCUGUGUAUUUGUCACUUCAAGAGGGACAAAACACCCAAAACCAGUCACCAGUUUGCAACAUAAUUUUAUAUGCUUUUAUAUGCUAACCACAGUAGAAACAUAAAGAGCUGUUGGCAAUCAGUGUCUGUGAUGGGGCUCAGAUGGGGUCUUAAGUGGUUUGAGUGUUGUGGUCUCAUGGCCGUCCCUGUGCUUUGCUGGGCACUUAUCUGGGCGCUAGGCAGGUUGCGCUUGGCACAGUGGGAGGUUGCUUGGUGGGUGAAGAAGGCACCCAAAGGUCCUUCCUGCCUGUGCUCCUCUGAACACUGCAUCCCACCAUAAGUCCCAUUGCAGCGAUCCCUGCCGGCACCAAACUGUGAUGCCCUGCCCAUGGGAUGCUUUGGGCGAGGGUGGCCCAUCCCAUACCCGCCACCCCACAUCAUCUCUUACCCUUGAUAAAGAUUCGAGUGUGACCAAGUCCUGUUGAUUUAAUCAUUUUUUAAUAAAGCCAUCGUUACUGAGUA
Long non-coding RNA from Pezoporus flaviventris, 1927 nucleotides. RefSeq lists it as uncharacterized. The transcript has 3 exons. NCBI's taxonomy places the organism in Eukaryota, Metazoa, Chordata, Aves, Psittaciformes, Psittacidae. The record is from RefSeq and is a predicted model, not a curated record.